UUUUUUUUUUUUUUGUUGCCUAUAUAAAAUUAUAUAAUGGUAAACUCGAAAGUAAGAAUUUGAAACAAAAAAUUUAUAUUCUGCACAAAUUAAGUUUCAACUAGAUUUAACAAAAGUUGCAACCCGGCAAUAGAAAGAAAACAUGUAUCAUCAAUCUUGUUCAUAACAACUUAACAAGUAAAAAGAAAAAAAGUAAUGCUAGGGAGACUAAAUUUGUAGACUUAUUUUGCAAACUAAAUGAUGUGUCAACAAUAAGAAAUAAGCAUGUUUAUCAACGUUCAAGUAAUAAUCCAAUCAUCUCUGUAGAUCACUAGCUCUCUGGCAAAAAGUGUGGCUACUGUUCUACAGUCCUAGCUUUCAAAAAGGCAAAAGGUCUAUAGGCAAGGAAAUUAUAAUUGAGAGCCAUGUGUCAAUUGUCAAAAACAAAAGGGCAUGGUUUGUUUUCUGAGCCUCUAGCCCUUAAAACUUUCAAAUGAAUAUUCUUUAUUUCUUAGUUUUUGUGUGGUAUGAAAGUUUUAAUUUAAUAUUAUUUAAAUUUCAUUAUUGGGUAAAACAAAAAAAAUGUAAGAUUCAUACUAUUAGAUGUAAGUAUUGGCUAAUUUUAUUUUAUUUUCCAUAAAAACAACUAUAAGAUUCAUACUUUUCAUUUUGCUAGGUGGGCUAUGAUAAUUAAAAAUCAUAAAUAACCCAAAUAAUUAAUAUUUUUAAGCUUAAAUAACCAAAACUCUCUCUAUACUAUAGCCCAUCAAAAACCUGUACUCAGCUUUGUCGGAUUCUUCCAACAAAUCAAACCCAUGCCGCAAUUUAGAUGAUCAGUUGAAAAGGUUAACGUCUAGAAAAAAGAUGUAAGUGCAUUGUUGUCUACUACUUUUGUACGUUGAAAAAGUAAUAAACGACUUCAAACUAUAUAUGUAUGAUGAAUAUUCUUGAUUUCUUAGCACUAGUAGGAAAAACUACUUCCACGACAAAGCAAAAUCAGUCGUGCAAGGACUCCUUGCGCAAUGAAGAAAAUAUCUAUGUCACACAAGGUUAGUCUACUUUGCGUGACGCAGAACUUUAUCGCACAAAAACGUUUGCACGACGAAAAAAAGAUGUUCAUCAUGCAAAGCCAGUAAGAAAACCACGAGUGUUUUUUUUUUUUUUGAACGAAAAUAAAUGCGCGACCAAGAUCUUCUCGCGGAACCUUAGCGUGACAAAGGCUUCAUCACGCAAAGCUUGUUCAGUUUCUAGGGCAGAGCAUUCAACGCAUAGGAAACCGAGGAACACUUGUGUGACAAGGGUUUCGUCGCGCAAGUUACAAUUAGUUUUCAAUUAGAGCAUUCAGUGCAUGUGAAUCAAUAGGAAUCUACAUUGUAUUUAGUGUGGGUCUUUGCGGAACAAAGCCUUUGUCAUGCAAAGGCCCUCACCUUUCUAUAAAUAUGUGUUUCUGCUCUCCUUAUUUUUCCCAAUUUUGUUGUCCAUAUUCUUCACAAUUCUGUUCGUGCUGGGAUGGAGGAUAAAAACAAGGAUCAGAAUGUGCCAGCCAACUCGAAUGAUUUGAGGAACCAUGUGGAGUUCACGCAUGCGAUUGUUGUAACCAUGGGGAAUAAUUGUCCUACUACUGAGUGGCGUUCUUGGACAGAUGUGCCCGAGAAUGUGAAGAAGACGGUGAUGGAUGAAUUAUUAGUAAGUAUACUGUUGAUGGAUCAAUAAUUAAUUUUGUGAAAUUUUUUUAUUAUAUGUUGGAAUUAAUUAUUUGCAUAUAUGUGUAACAGUGUAAGUAUACUCUUGAUGACGAUACGAACAAAGAGUUGAUGAAGUUGAUGGAGGCAGCGUUGGAGGGAGGUUAUAAUUAACUUUAAAUUUAUGUUUUUUGGACAAUAAUUAACUUUAAGGUUUUUUUAUAAGUUUUUGGACUUAAUUAAACUUUAAUUCCCGUUUGGUUUUUUAAAUAAUUGAAUGGAAUAUAAUAUUAAUUUUGCUUAAGGUUUUAAUUAUUUUUAGAAUAAAUAUUAUAACUGAAAAUUUGUUUGUAAUUAUGAAGUUUACAUAAACACAGAUAUCUAUGUUUACAUAAACUUCAUAAUUACAAUCUAUCACAUUCGUCGCUAGAAUGUUUGCACGACAAAUCUUGUCGAUGUGCAAAGCCUUGAGUGACAAAAGGAUGUCGCUAUGCAAAACCUUGCACGACAAAGCUUUCAUCGCUCAAAAGGCAUUCAAUUUUAGGUCAGCGUAUUUGGUGCAUCUAAAUCAGAGAAAUCAAUACUGUGUUUAGUACAGAUGUUUGCGCGACAAAGUGUUCAUAACGCAAAGUCCCUAACCUUCCUGUAAAUGUGCGCUUCUGCUCUCCUUAUUCUUCACAAUUUGUUUCAAAAACGCUUACCUAGUCUGCAAAAUAUAAUCAGUUCGUUCUUUGAUUGUUGGUACAAUGGCCGACAGUGGUGCGCAUUCAUCAAAGACAAUGGAUGGCAAAGGUUCCAAAAAAGGUGUGCGUUGUAAAUUUUUCAUUUUUUUUAAAUUUUUUAUUUAGAUUAUGUAUUAUGAAAAUAUAUUUUGUGGAUAGAAAAGAAGAAAUUUGCUACGGUACGGGUCCGACAAAGUUAUGGUCGUAGACGUUACCGAAUCACUGCUGACGAAGUAAUAGGGGUUGUGAAAUCAGAACAGCAUGCCAGCUUUUGGUCUAACAUUGGAGCAUUGGUGCGUACCAAAUGUGAUGUGGAUUGGGAGUCUUGGAGAGCCAUCCCCGAGGAGCUAAAGAUGCACAUGAUUGAUGAGUUAGCUAUAUGUGUUAAUUUUAUUAGUUAAAUAAUAAUGUUUGUUAAAUAUAAUAUAAUAGUGAUCUUUUAAUUUAUUAAUUUUUGCAUGACAACAUGUUCAAGUUGCGUUUCCGGGAGUGGAAGUUUGAUAAUCAAUGCACAGCAAAACUACAACAAGAACCACAAGUACCGGCGGAUGACUAGAAUAGGGUUUUUUAUUUCAAUUCUAAAAAGUAAUUAGAUCUGAAUUUUAAGUUUUUUUAGUAUGAAGAGUUUUAUUAAAUAUGUACUUAAUGUUUAAUAUUAAUAAAAUUAAUCCAUUUUAAUAAAUAUGUAUAUUAAUUAAUUAUGCACAAAUGGUAUAACGAUUUCAGUUCAUGAUUUAGUAAGUAUUUAUGUGUUUUGAAAAAAAAUUGAAGAGUGAAUGAAAAAAAAAUUGAAAAAAGAAAGUUAAAAAAACAAACAACUCAAUAAAAUAAAAUAAGGGAGUUUUAACGAAAAGCCUACGGUACUGUUCACCUUAACGAAAAACCACAUUUUUACACUAAAAAGUCAAACAUGGUACUAUUCACUUUACCCUUUCUUUUGUCCUUAUCAUUAAAACUCAAAGUUUUCAAGCCCUUUUUAUUAGUUUUCCUAUAAAAUAAUGCACGAUGAACUAUGGUUCGUCGCACAAUGUGUUUAAAAAACGUGGGAAAUCGUAGUUGCCUGGCGCCAAAAAGUUGAAGCCCAAUGUUUUGCACAACAAUGCUUUCGUUGCACAAGGUCUUUCACUUUACUCAACUUAACCAGAAUGCAGGAAGGCAGAAGCUGCAAAACAAUUGCAGCAGCUGCCUUCCCCUGGUGGAAUUUCCAACAAUUGGAGGUAUAAUUUUUCUUAACUAACUUAUUUAAUUUCCAUUAAUUUAAAUUGUGUUGUAUGUAGUUUAUAGGUGUUGUGAGUUUAUGUAUUUGUAUGCAAUCAUUUUUAUAUGGAUGUACAAAAAAUGGUUUGUAAUUUUCAUACGAGCUUAGUUUCUCGUUUGAGAAUUAGUUGGAUUUCGCAAAUGGAUGUGAAAGCAUGACUGCAGUCCAAUUAAUUCUUGAUUUUUCCCAAAAUCUUGGACAGUUUGAGAAUGCACAUUUGCAUGUUGUAUUUUACAGUUCACGCAUUAGAGUUUGAACGUGGGCAAUGUGGUAGCAUUUAUUUGCGUUCUUCGGGUGCAUCGUAGUUUUUUGUAUCUACGUUGUGCACUUGAAGAGCUGCAGGGAGAUGCUGCCGAAAUUUUCCCAUGAUCGAACUCUAAUGUGUUGGAACUGUAAAUUACAACACGUAACUGUGCAUUCUCAAAUGAGAUAGGACCCAUACCAGAGGCAUAAGGUGGCAUGUCAUAAUUGAAGUUGUUGUAACCCUUGUAAAUAUUUUUUGUUUGCAAGUGAAACGGACAAACAGUGGAUACAUAAUCCUAACAAAUGUGCUGAUGAUUAUUUGGAUGGAAUAAAUGAGUUCCUCGAUUUUGCAAUUGCAAACAACCACGGUUCAACUCAAAUUCGGUGUCCUUGUAGAAAGUGUAACAACUUAAUGAUUGAAUAUUUUGAAAUUGUUCGAUACCAUUUAGUCAAAAAUGGGAUGAUGGAAACCUAUACUAUGUGGAAUCAUUUGCUUCUACAAAGAGAAUAAAGCGUUGGAUAAAUGCCCUAUAUGUAAUGAGUCACAGUUUAAAAUGACCUCUCAGAAUAUAAGAACGAAGAUUCCACAAAAAGUUAAGUGUUAUUUCCUAUUAAAGCAGUUGCAGCGAUUGUAUAUGUUGACGCACACUGCAAGCGAUAUGAGGUGCCAUAAGGACAGACGAGUGGAUGACGAUGCUAUGAGACAUCCUGCAGAUGGAGAGGCCUGGAAAGAGUUUGAUCAGUUGUACCCUGAUUUUACAUGUGAGCCCCAAAACGUUAGAUUGGGAAUUGUGACAGACAGGUUUAAUCCAUUCGGGGUUCUAAGCCAAAACAACAUCACUUGGCCAAUCUUCGCAAUUCCAUUUAAUUUGCCACCUAGGAAGUGUAUGAAAAAAUAAUAUAUGAUAAUGACGUUGUUGAAAACCGAAGAUUUGGGCACGUUUAUUGAUGUGUUUUUACAACCAUUGGUUGAUGAACUAAAAGAAUUAUAGGAAAAUGAUGUUCCCACAUACGAUAAUUCUACCAGGAAGAUGUUCACUUUUAGAGCAGCCAUGAUGUGGACUAUAAAUUAUUUUCCUGCGUACGCUAUGAUGUCUGGGUAGAGCACUAAGGGCUAUUACACAUACCCAGUUUGUAAAGAGAACACAAUAUCUAGUUCGCACGCUGACCUAAAGUGGGACCACGAGUGGUGUCAGAAAAAGACAGCCUUCUUCAACGGCACAGAGCAUCGGCCAAGACCCAGAGAAUGGUCCAACGAUGAAAUUUUGGCUCAAGUGAAUCGAUUGGAUUUUGCUCCUUUGGGCAAAUCUGUAAAUAGGACAAGAACAAACACACAUCUAAACUGGACACACAAGAUGAGGUUGUUCGAACUCUCGUACUGUCCAAAUUAAAAUUGAGACACAUCGAUGUAAUGCAUGUUGAGAAAAAUGUGUUUGAUACACUGAUCGGAACUAUACUAGACAUCGAGGGAAAAACAAAGGACACAAUAAAAGCUAGGAUCGAUCUGGAAAAAAUGGGCAUUAGGCCAGGUUUAUGGAUGACGAGGGACAGAGACAUAUCCAGAAAGAAGCUCACAUCAUUUUUGGUGAAACCAGAUAAGAGGAAAGAGUUUUUGCAGUUUCUAUCUUUUGUAAAGUUUCCAGAUGGGUAUGCUUCAAACAUCAGCCGUUGCGCAAACGUGGAUGGAGGCAAAUUUUCUGGCCUCAACAUUUAUGAUUGUCAUGUCAUACUUCAACGCCUUUUCCCAGUGAGAAUUCAAAACCUCUUGCCCGAAGACGUGGUGAAGUCGAUUAUGUUGUUGGCAAGAUAUUUUUCUCAAUUAACUGCAAUAUCUUUGCGCAAGUCUGAUAUUAAAUAGUUGUGCGACGAUAUUAUUGAAGUGCUAUGCAAGUUUGACCAAAUAUUUUCUCCAACUUUCCUCACAAGCAUGAUCCAUGUGAUGAUUCACUUGCCAGAUAAGGCACUUCUAGUCGGACCCGUCAACUAUCGAUGGAUGUAUCCAAUAGAAAGGUAUAUACUCGCCAUAAAUAAUUUAGUUCGUGAUGUAUGUACGAUUUGACUAAUUUUAUACGAUAUUUUGUUUAUUGAUGCAGACUACUAGGUGAAUCAAAAAAGAGUGUACGAAACAAGGCAAAGCCCGAAUGAUCAAUCAUGGAGGCAUGGGUCGUAUUUGAGUCGCUUACAUUUUGUGCAAUGUACCUACAAGACAUUGAGACUACGUUCAACCGACAGCAACGCAAUAAUGACGGUGGUGUGAGAAGUGAAAAACUUUCUGUUUUUGCCCAAAUUGCAUAACCCUUUGGUGAACGAAUCAGAGGUGAGUCGUUUGACAAAAUGAAACUAGAGGUAGCACAUUGGUUUGUACUUAACAAUUGUAACGAGACAAUUACCUAUCUAGAUGAGCAUGAAGAGUUGAUGAAGCGGGAACAUCCUUCACAUUCAUAUGCCAAAAAGCAUCAUGAAUUGUUUCCUCAAUGGUUUCGUGAAAAUGUAAGUUGUUCGUGUUUUGGGUUAUUUGCAUAAUUGUAAAUGUUAAACUAGCACGACAACUUUUUCUCAUUUAUUUAGGUGAAUUCACGAAUAACUUACAUUUACAAUUAUGCAAAUAUGCAACUUGGUUGUUAGGCCCCUAAGCGCAGAAUUGUACUCCGAUUGUCAUGUAAAUGGCAUCAAUUUUUUGGUAGCUAAGCGUGAUGACAAGCUUUGUACACAAAAUAGUGGGGUACAUGUCUCGAGUACAGGCGACAUUGCAGACAUUGGUUUCUAUGGAAAACUGGCAAGUGUUGUACAAUUGCUUUAUAAAGAUUGGUGUCAAAUUAUCCUGUUUAAGUGUCGUUGGUUUGAUACAAACCCACAUAGGGUUGGAGGUGUUUAGUGAGACGAUGGUUUGCUAUCGGUCAACACUAACAUAUGUUGGUAUAACAAUGACCCUUACAUUUUGGCGACGAUGGCCAAAUAAAUUUUCUAUAUAGAUGACCCUAAGGGCGCGAGGGGAUGGAAGUAGUUCAGAAGAUUUACCACAGAGGUCUAUAUGAUAUUUCCAACCGAGAUCCUAAUGCCGAUGAUGAUUAUGGUGACGUUGUUGACCAACAACUGGAGACUUCAAUAGAACUUGGUGCAGAUAUACUACGGGAUAUGACUAUUGUACAAGAACCAUAUCAGGUAGCCGGAGGUCCUGAAAUUGAAAUACCAAUCGACUCAUUAUGAUUAACCUCGGGGAUCUACUGUGAUACAAUGCACCCGAGCGCGCGAACAAUGAUGUUGACGUGCCUACAGACGAAGAGGAAUGGGAGUAUGAAUCUAACGAUAGUGACGAUAUUUAUUCUAGUUCAGACGAGGAUUAAUGAAAAAUUGUGAUGUAAAUGUAAUGAUAUCUAUUGAAUGGUAUUUAUUUUGUAUACAAACAAAAGUUUCCUUUAACAUUUGUAACAAAAUUAAUUAAAAAUAUUAUUUAUUUAUUUAAACCAAAAAAUAAAUUAAAUUUCCACAUAUGCACGACGACGUUUUAUAAAUGUUUGUCGCACAAAUAUUUAAAAAUUCUUUUUUUAAACUAUGGGUCCAUGAAAGUUUAAACACCCUCAUUGCGCAAACAUGUAAAAAUUUGAUUGUUUUGCCAAAAUUGGGCACCUUUUUAUUUCAACGCCUUAACUCUCUCUCUCUCUCUCUCUCUCUCUCUCUCUCUCUCUAUCUUAGACGCACUCAAUCUCUCUCUCGAUUCUGUCUGAACUCAAGCUCCCCUCUCUCUCUAUUCUCUCACUCUCUUCUCUCCCUCACUCGCACUCUUUCUAUCUUAGACUCACUAUCUCAAGCUCCUCUCUCCUCUCUCGCACUCUCUCUAUUUCUCUGUCUCUCUGUCACUCUCCCUAUCGCAUCUGCCGCACUCCUAUGCCACACCCUAUCGCUGCCGCCGCAACAUUACUAGGUAAGCACCCAGUCUUCCUUAAUUCAUCUCCCUUAAUUCAAUUAUUUAUAAGUGCAAUUUUCAUUGAUUUUUCUGUUGAAUUGUUCUAAUUACAACAUUUAGGGAUUUAAGGUUGGAAUUGGGAAUCCUGGGUAAGGGAUUUAGGGUUGGAAUUAGGACUCCUGGGUUAUGGAUUUAGAGUUCGAAUUGGGGAUCUAGGGUUAUUGAUUAAUUUAUUAAUUAGUUUUGAUUAUAAAUAUGUAUUUCUUUUUUGUUUCUAGAUAAUGAAAAAUGUGUUUUACCGGGACAAAAUCUUUUAUUAGGACAGUUAGAAAUUUGAAAGGAUGAAAACACGAAACCCCCAACUUCAUGAAAGCGCGCUCCUUGAACUCUCCAAGGUCUAAUCUUUUUUCUCUCAUUGUUUCUGAAUAAUUCGGUUCCUCUAAGUUUGAUUAAUCAUUUUUAGCAUGUUGGGUUUUUGUUUUUUUUUUGUUUUAGGGUUUAUGGGGUUGAAGAUUUGACGAUAAAGUUUGGGUUUAGGGUUUGUGAUUUGGGUUCUAUUGAGUUUUGUUUUGUUUUAGCAUCAUUUCGUUGUUCUGUAAUUAUGUUUAUUUGCUGAGAAAAUCAAGGCAAUUAGGGUAAUGAGAUGAUUAUUUUUGCGUGAUAUGUCUUUCGUGAGAAGAGGGGUUGCUUGUUCUUUUCUUAUUAUCAGAGUUGAGACUUCAAAUUAGCAUCUUUGUAGUCACAGCAUGCAUGUGGUACCCACCUUACUAUAAUUGUUCCUAAGGUAGGAUCAAAAUUGGAUCUUGAUGCAUUUGUUUAUGUUUCCGGUAUGUCUCUAUAUCGAUUAUGUUUAACCAAUUUUUGUGUUAGAUGGAGUUUUGAACCUUUUCAGUUAUUGGUUAUGGAGAAGGUGUGUAGCUGCAAUUUGUUUUAUGUGUCUGGGUUUAAAAUGGUGCAGUCGUUGUUUAGAGUAUAAAUCUUUACGUCGAGACUGCAAAGCCGUACACAUAAUUUUACAUCACGUAUCCAAGCACAUAAUCUAAGUGUCAAGCCCCAACAGCUACAUGUGCUCUCAUGUCAUCCCAUGUAUGUGUUGUUCGCGCGCUUAGCUCCCUGUGUUUAGCUCAAGUUACUCUACACUACACAUGAGGGUAUUGUUGAGUGUGUUUAUACACAAUUGGAAUGUGAAGUCUCUUAUAGGAAUAUAUUAAUGAUCUUGUGCCUCUCCACUCAUUGUCAAUUGGUCCUUGGUUGGGUGCUCUAACUUUAUCAGUGGUAUAGGAAUGAAAGUGAUAUAACAUACUAAAUAGGCUGCAUAAUUUCUUAAUUUGCUUUAUUAGUUUGAAGUUUUCAUUGACUACAUUAGUAAAAGUUGCAUAUUAGAUCUAGAAAGAAGUCAGUUCUUUCCAUAAGAGCCUGACGAUGCCUUCAAGCACUUACAAAUACUAUUUUGACCUAAUUUGCUCUUUUAUUUUUAAAGCUAUAAGAAAAGAAAAAAUGCCUUCAUGCGAUACAAUGCUAAAUUUGCCACCCCUAUGUGAGCUAUGCAUAUGUGUUCUUCAUUGAGGAAAUAAGUUCUUAGUCCUUACUGCAAAAAAUGAUGUGAGCAGUUAGUUACACUUCCAAAAUAAAAUGCUAACACAUUAUCUACUGCAUUUUUCAUUGUCAAUGUCAGGAUACUCUGGAUUAUAUUUUUGUUCCUCAAUCUUAUAAUCACAUACACAUAAAUAAAAUAAAAGUCAGAGUCUUUCUCUGAGAUUUUUACCUUCAUUUCUGAGUUACUUCUUCCGUAUGUACAAUAUCAUCAAUCCAACUACGGAUUCUAACUACUAAAACCUCACUAAAAUCUCACUAAUUUUCACCAUGCAAAAUCUAACUACUACCUAUUAUUGAUUUGAUAAUAUGUUGGUUUUGACUUUGUAAUGGCAUGCAUUUGAUAAUUAGUUGGAAUUAAUUUCAUCAUCUCAUUUUAAGAAUGCAAAACCUUGCUAUAAGUUCUCAUUUUAUUUGUUUGCUGGGAAUUGAGCUCCGUAUUUAACUUUGUCAUGUCAUCCCAUUCGCUCAAACAUUGAGCUACUAUAUCACACAUUCUACCCUCAUUCACAUUUGCAUUACACAUGGACAUGGAUGCAACAAGUUUUGUAACUAUCAUGGUACCAGUUGCUGUCAGUUUGUUCAAGUUUUGUAACUGUCUUCCAUUCAUAAUUUGUACAAGUUUUGUAACUUAGGAAUGUAUUUGGAACUCUGUUUACGAUUUCAUUUAUUUAUUUCUAACUGUCAAUGUUAAGAUAUGUUUUAGUAUAUCCAAACCAUAUUAAAGUAGUGAAAUGUAACUUUUUAAUUAAUUGUUUUUGUAGAUGUGGAACUUAAUAUCAAACCGACGGCCAGCUAGUAGGGGCAGUCAGAUACCUUCUCCAGGAGGUAGUGCGAUUGCCACCUCCACACCUGAUGUGACCACGACGGCUGUCCCUCAAGUCAUGCCUUUGGGGUCAACGGUGUAUAUGGCUCUUGCGUCAUCAACUUCUUCGGUGAUGCAUCCUAUACUAAGCGCCCAACAAACUCAUCGACGGCCCUGGAGUUCUGAAGAGGCCCAGCAAUCUGGUGAGGCUUCCUUUGUCCAUGAAAAAGGGUCCCAUACAGGUAAGCUUGCUCUAUACAUUUAUAAGCUUGCUUCUAGUUUCAUCUUUAUUCAUAGCCAUAAUGCUAUGUUCCUUACAAAUAUACGAGUGCCACAUGUGGUUUCUAAUAUUUUCUCAAGUUUUGGCUUGCAAAUUGACUGUAAACAAUAAUUCAGAAUAGUCUCCAUUAAUGGAUACAAAUGUUUUCCAGUCUUAAGCUACCUUGCAACUAGAGUAUUUGUAUUAGUUUGAACUGUUUGUCCCAUGCGCGCGCACACACACACACACAUGUAUAACCAUUUUUCCAACUAAUUUUACUGAGAAAAAUUAGUGUGGAUUUUAUUGGGUUGAACAUUUUGAUAUGCAGCUGCAAAAGAUUGUUAUAUUCUUUUGAAUAUGCUAAGCUAAAUAGCAAUCAACCUACUUUACAUCUUUCUUUGUCAACGAGAUGAUCCCUUUUCUGCAGAGAAUAACAUGCAUGCUUGCUAGUUAAUUUGAAUUGUGAUUUUGACCUAUAUUAAUUAUUGUUAAGUAGCACUGAGUAAAUUGUAUAUCAACAAGUUGUAAAUUUUGUUUUAACGUCUCCAAUUGGUAUAAACUGUUUGAAUUGUUAGGUAGAUGUGUUGUUUUUGUUGUUAUAUUAUCUGGAGGUUUUAGGAAAUGUUAUAGUUUUAUGGGAGGUUCUGCCAAAUUUUCGGUAGAAACCAGAAUUCGUCUAAUGUUUACUUUGUUUAUUUGGUAGGUCAAAAAAAACCAAGGGCCCUUGUAGGCUACAAAAGACUUCUCAGACCACUCGUGCCACGACUGAGAAGAUCAUCAUUACAUGGGAUCCUCGACAUUGUGCGACUGCAACAAAGGAGCAGCACAUUGCGUUGGGCACCGACUUUGGCUCGAUUAUCAGGAACCAUUGCCCCCUUAUAUGGAAGUCAUGGAGACCUGUCCCAUAAGGAGUCAAGGAAGUAGUUCUUCAUGAAUUAUCGGUAAGUAUUUUCAACCUCAAAUACUAAAUUUUUAUUAAAGUAUACAAAGAUUAUAAAUUUUAACUACUAUUUAUUUGUUGAGUAUGAGUUUUCCAACCUCAAUGCCAAUCAAAUGCAGUACAUCAACAACCUUUGCUCUGGUAGGUUCACUCAAUAGAAGAGUAACCUCUACAAGCAUUAUGAGCUAUAUGAAGAUCCGAAGGUCACUCUAGAAGUUGGGUGCCCUAUAGAGUUGGUGGACUAUCAAGAUGAAUGGAAGUGGCUAUGCGGCCAUUUUCAAGAUGAGAAAUGUCACAUCCCGGCCUGGGCACCCAUCACAUCUCGGGCCUCGCCUCCGCCGUAGCACGAUAUUGUCCGCUUUGGGCCCUGACCACAACCUCACGGUUUUGUUUCUGGGAACUCACACGAGAACUUCCCAGUGGGUCACCCAUCAUGGGAUUGCACUUGCACGAACUCGCUUAACUUCAGAGUUCCGAUGGAACCUGAAGCCAGUGAGCUCCCAAAAAGCCUUGUGCUAGGUAAAGAUGGGAAUAUAUACAUAUAAAGCUUACAAGAUCCACUCCCCUGGGCGAUGUGGGAUGUUACAAUCCACCCCCUUAGGGGCCCAACGUUCUCGUCGGCACACAUCCGGCCAGGGAUUGGCUCAGAUACCAAAUUGUCACAUCCUGGCCCAGGCACCCAUCACAUCUCGGGCCCCGCCUCUGCCGUAACACGAUAUUGUCCUCUUUGGGCCUCAACCACGCUCUCACGGUUUUGUUUCUGGGAACUCACACGAGAACUUCCCAGUGGGUCACCCAUCAUGGGAUUGCUCUCGCGCGAACUCGCUUAACUUCGGAGUUUCGAUGCAACCUGAAGCCAGUGAGCUCCCAAAAAGCCUCGUCCUAGGUAGAGAUGGGAAUAUACAUAUAAGGCUUACAAGAUCCACUCCCUUGGACGAUGUGGGAUGUUACAAGAAAUACCUAGUACGUAUAAUAUAUAUUUCAAUAAUAUAUUAAUAAAAAAAAUUUACAAUUUUCAAUAAAAUUUUCAUUUUUUCAUUCAUUUGUUAUAAAUAUCUAAACUAAUAUGUUUUUUUAAUUCUGAAAAAAAAAAGUGAAGGCAAACUCGAUCAAUUGGUCAAAAAAGAAACUUCUUCACCGAUUUGGCUCACAAUGCUUCUCUUAUAGGUUGGAGGAGCAAUAUAAGGCAACCGUAUAUUUAUUUUAAGUUUUUAAUCUUUUUACUCUUGAUUACACAAUUGGUAAUCUAUGUUAACACUUUUUAAAUUUUUUUCAGGGGGGGUCAAAGUUUCCAGAAAUUGACAUGUUCAAGGAGAUGUAUGUUCGGCCCAGGGAUGAGCUGACGGAGCAGCUUCAUGUAAGUUAUUUCAAUUUUUUAAUAUUAAAUUAGUAUUAAUAUUAAUUACAUGUAUAUUCAAAUUAAAUUGUUUAUUUCAUUUUUCUAGUCCACCAUGGUGGAGAAGGGCCAGACUGUUCUGGAGGAGAUUGUGUCCUAAUUCCCGUAGAGACCCCGAUCGAGGAGGUGUUUCCCCUUGAGGACGCUGGUUUUCAAAUCAUGACAGACACACUCAAUCGGACCCUUAAUCGUCGACCUAGGAAUGUUCACCGGGGGCUUGGGAAAACCCGCCUUCGAGACCUGUCUGCCUCAUCUUCCAAGCAGAGAACUGUCAAAAUGUUAACAUCUGAAGUGGCAAACCUAAAGCAGUGGAUUACCGCCCAGCAGUCUCAGAUUGCAGCCCAAAACAAUUUGAUGAACCAGAUUUGUCAGGCACUUCAAAUCUCUAGCAUUCACUUCCCCGACAUUGAACCACCUCUAAAACGACCUUUCAGCCGCCCACCACACCAAUUACAACCUCCCAGCCCCCCAACGCAGCAACAACACCACCAGCAGGCAAGUGUGAUGUGAGUUAUUGCCAGCAACAACAUUUUGUGUGUUGAUAAAUAUAUUUUUUAUAUUUUUCAAAUUUUUUUUUAAUUUUUUUUUAUGAGGUGAGUUAUUGGCAACCAUGACACGACGACUUAGAUGGAGGCAUGCUGGCCGUCACGUGGGAGUGACGUAACCAUGUGCACAGUACGGAAGCAAUAAAAAUAUAACGGAAUUUCGAAGGAAUAAAAACCAAACUACUAGCAUAACUAGCUAAGAUACAGUGCUAGUGCGAGAUUAAGGGUGAAAUACACAACCAGAGCAUAAAUAUUCUAGAUGCAGUCAAGCAGGACAAGUGCUAAUUAUACAACACCCAAGGGUGAUCCGACAUUUAUGAUGUUCUGUCAAAACCCCCGUUGAAAUCCUCGUGAUCCUCCAAAGCACUUCUACCUAAAACCUGGAUGGGCGCAAAACAAAAAGUGUGACUGGGUAAAAACAAAGAUUUUCAAAAUCAUUUCAUUUCUCAAAAUUCUAACCCCUUGCCGUAAAACCUGUAUAAUUGCCCAGAAAAUAAUAAUAAUAAUAAGCUGUGUCAGAAAUCAUACUCAAGAUGAAAAUCCAUAGAAGUAUACCAUGUUAAAGUAUCUCAAUGUAAUGCUAUCAGUAAUCCAGGCAAAAUAUAUCAAUGUCAAAUAUCGCAUCAGCCAAAUCCCUCUAACUCAAUCUGCACGGCUGUGUAUAUAGCUCAUAACCAAUCUCAAUCAUACCAAAUCAAAUCCUGCACACGAGUCGGAACCACCUAAAGUUGUUUGUAGCACAAGAUUAGGUGUAAAGUAAAUAUGCUCUAGUGCUACGAUCACGUGAAGGUUGUGCAAAUAAUCGCGGGUCACCUACAAGUCGAAACCACCUAAAGUGGUAUGUACGACAAACCUGUGCACCUAACUUGGAUCCAAGGUAAGCAUAUGGUGCGGGAGGUGAACAUCACGUGAAGGACUGUGCCCUAACUCUGGGUGGGAGCAUUAAAACCGGGGUGCAGGUUUAUGAGCUCUCAAUACAUCACAUCAUAUCUCACAUAACUGAAGUAACCUCAAAUCUUUAAUUUAUGAACUUACCUGGCACUUACAUGUGCGUCCACAGCACCAAUCAUAAUUAUAUGCAACUACUAAUGCAUAAAUAAAAUAGGCAGAUACUUUGCAUGGCAUUUCAAAACGUAUAAUCAUUCAAAUUCAUUUUCUGGGAAAAAAUCUCAAGUAUAUAGGUAUAUACGGAAAACCAAAAGGCCACUCACUGAUAUGUUGAAAGGUCAUAGCCCCAUUGCCUCGAUUGAUGGCCCUCGUCCUCAGGAUGAUAUGCAAAAUAACUAAAUAAACGUUAUUUAAAGCACAUACACAAAACUAGGAUAUAACUUCUCAUACAUUGCUCAAAUGGGGUAUUUGAAUGUACCACCAUGAUCUACUCAACCUCAGGAACAUCGCCACAUUUUUAGAAAAUUUUUCCAGAAGCGCCCCCACGCGCGGCCAAACCCUAACUGAAACUUAAUUGCCAUUAGGAAUAAACGUUAUUUAAAGCACAUACACAAAACUAGGAUAUAACUUCUCAUACAUUGCUCAAAUGGGGUAUUUGAAUAUACCACGAUGAUCUACUCAACCUCAGGAACAUCCCCAAAUUUUUAGAAAAAUUUUCCGACCACCCACACGCCGGCCAAGGCACGGUGUUAUCUGAUGCCGUUAGAGUAUUCCGUCAGACUUGAUGGAAUAUUCCCCUUCGUCUUCCUUAGAUCGCCGGAGAUCGUCACCAGCGUCGGUUUUUGGAAAAAUAAUCAAACCUUCAUAUCUUCUUCGAUUUUCAACCAAAAUUCAUGAAAUCUAUACCAAAUUAAAGCUUAGGAUGAGAGGAACAAAACCUUACCACUCUGGGGACCUAAGACAAAUGGAAUCUCACCGGAGAAACUUUGAUAAUCCGGCCAAACUUGAAACUUAUCAAACUCAACUUUCUGACAUCCAAAACACUUCGUUUUUCUUCUCCGAACUUCGCGAAGAUGUCCUAAAGCUCACUAGCAUCUUAAAAUCUCCUAAAAACUUUGAAAUCACGAGUGCAUGAACAGUAACCCAAAACUGGGUUCUCGGGUUCUCGGGAAAAUGAGGUCUUCAUGCCCAAAUAAUAGUAUCAAUGGGUUCUUGGGCUCACAAGGAACUUGAAUAUGGUCUCCAUUGGUUCGAUCUACAGACGGAAGUAAAGGUUCAAGGUUUGUCCGUACAAUUGUACGGACAUGGAAGAAAAUACAAGAGGAAUGAGAGAGAGUCAACAGGAUAAGGUGAGGGUAUGUAUGUGUGUGGUCCAGUUUGCAGUCAAUCAACCAAAACCAUAGGCCUUUUGUUCUAAUUGGUCCAAAUAAUAAGGAAUAGAACCUAUUGGUCCAAAACCUUAGUUUAUACACACACACAACUCAAUAAUAAAAAGGGUAUAAUAGAAAUUUCCACGCUCUCGAGGAUAAAUAAUAUGUACGUUCGGGACGGGCUGUCACAACCUAUCCCCCUUAAGAAACUUUCGUCCUCGAAAUUUACACAAUAAAUGCAACCCACUAAUAAUCAUAAAACAAGCACGGAUACAUCUCUUUCAUACGCUCCUCCGUCUCCCAAGUGGCUUCCUCCACCGAGUGAUUUCUCCACGAAACCUUCACUAGGUGUACUGUCUUAUUUCUCAGAACUUUAUCCUUCCAAUCCAAAAUAGUCACUGACUCCUCAUCAUAAGUCAAAUCUGAAUUAAUUUCCAGAGGUUAUGGAGGUAUCACAUAAGAAGGAUUUGAAACAUAAUGACGCAACAUAGAGACAUGAAAAACAUCGUGCACUUUGGAUAACUCUAAAGGCAACUCAAGUCUGUAAGCAACCUCACCGACUCGCUCGAUGAUCAUAUAUGGUCCAAUGUACCUAGGACUCAGCUUGCCUUUCUUUCUAAACCGCACAACACCUUUCCAUGGUGAUAGCUUCAGAAAUACCCAAUCACCUACAUUAUACAUCCGAUCAGUGGCAUGUCGGUCUGCUAGACUCUUCUGUCGAUCCUGGGCCGCUUUCAAGUUAGACUUAAUCACCUGAAUAUUAUGUGUAGUCUCCUCCACUAUCUCAGGACCUACCAAAACUCUUUCACCAACUUCUGACCAACAUAAGGGUGUUCGACAAGAUUUACCAUAAAGAACCUCGAAAUGUGACAUACCAAUACUGGAAUGGAAGCUGUUGUUGUAGGAAAAUUCCAUUAAAUCCAACUGCUUAUGCCAAGCGUCACCAAACUGCAACACUGAAGAUCUCAACAUAUCUUCCAACAUCUGAAUAGUCAUCUCUGAUUGUCCAUCUGUUUAAGGAUGAUAUAUUGUACUAUAAAAUAAUCUCGAACCAAGAGCUUCUUGGAAUGCUAUCCAAAAUUUGGAAGUAAAUCUAGGAUCACGAUAUGAGAUAAUACUAAUUGGGACUCCAUGGUCCUUCACAAUCUUCGAUACAAAUAAUUCAGCUAAUCGGUUUAAAGAAUAAUUGUCCCUCACAGGAAUAAAAUGUGCUGACUUAGUAUGCAGAUUAACUAUCACCCAAACGCCAUCAUCCCAUUCUAUGUACGAGGAAGCUUGUACACAAAAUCCAUAGUAAUAUUUUCCCAUUUCCACUGUGGAACGGGAAGUGGCUGCAUCAAUCCAAAAGGUUUCUUUCUUUCUGCUUUGACUUGCUGACAAAUGACAUACCUACUCACAUAUUCAGCAAUUUCUCUUUUCAUACCCAGCCAAUAAUAAAAUGGUCGAAUGGUACGAUACAUUUUAGUACCUCCUGGAUGCAUUGCAUAAGCUGAAAUAUGUGCUUCAUCAAGAAUUGCCUUCUUUAAUUCCAUAUUAUUUGGCACAUACAUUCUACUCUCCUACAUAAGCAUGCCAUCAGUUUCUCGAAUUCUGAAGUCUUUCUUCUUCCCCCGAUUCCUUGCUUGAAUUAUUUCCUGGGUCUCUUCAUCAUCCCUCUGGGCUACGAGCACACAAUCAAUUAAAAUUGGCCAGACUUGAAAAUUUGCAAGUAAAGCUUCCUCCCGAUAUUCCACUCCUAACUCCACUCCAGUGGACCUCAAAUCCGCGAGAAGAGGAACAUGAUAAUCAUUGAUGGCAUUAAGUCUAACUGGAGUCUUCCUACUAAGUGCAUCUGCCACUACAUUUGCACGACCAGGGUGAUACUCAAUCGUGCAAUCAUAAUCACUAAGCAACUCAAUCCACCUCCGCUGCCGAAGAUUAAGAUCCCUUUGAGUAAAAACAUACUGAAGACUCUUAUGAUAUGUGAAGAUCUUACAUUUCUCACCAUAAAGAUAAUGUCUUCAAAUCUUCAAAGCAAAGAUGAUAGCUGCUAACUCCAGAUCAUGAGUAGGGUAAUUUUUCUUAUAAGGCUUCAAUUGUCGUGAAGCAUAAGCAAUCAGCCUACCAUGAUGUAUCAACACACAACCUAGACCAUUUAAGGAAGCAUCACUGUAGACAUCAAAAUUACCACUAUCAUCUGGGAGUGCCAAAAUAGGUGCAUGAGUGAGAUAAUACUUUAAUUGCUAAAAACUUUGCUCACAAUUAUCAUCCCACUCAAACUUAACUUCUUUUCUAGUCAACCUUGUUAAUGGCAAAGUAAUGACUGAAAAAUCCCUAACAAACCGUCUAUAAUAGCCUGCUAGGCUAAGAAAACUCUGUACCUCAGUGACGGUUCGACAUUGCUCCCAAUUCUCCAUAGUUGCCACAUUUUGAGAAUCCACUUGAAUACCUUGAGUAGAAAUGAAUGUCCCAAAAAUGCCACUUGAUUCAACCAAAAUUGACAUUUGCUAAACUUAGCAUACAAUUGAUGUUCCCUUAAUUUCUUCAACACACAAGUAAGAUGUCGAACAUGCUCUGCUUUAGACUUAGAGUAUACCAAAAUGUCAUCAAUAAAAACAAUGACAAACCUGUCUAUAAAUGGCUGGAAUACUCGAUUCAUCAAAUCCAUGAAAGCUGCUGGUGCAUUCGUUCAUCCGAAUGGCAUCACUAGAAACUCAUAAUGACCAUAACGAGUUCUGAAAGCAGUCUUAGGGACAUCCUCACUGCUGAUCUUCAAUUGGUAAUAACCAGACCUUAAAUCAAUCUUUGAAACAUACAAGCACCUCGUAGUUGAUCAAACAAAUCGUCUAUACGUGGCAACGGAUAACGGUUUCUCGAUUCAAUUACCUAUAAUCAAUACAUAGCCUCAAAGUCCCGUCUUUCUUCCUUACAAACAAAACUGGAGCUCCCCGGGGUGAAGUACUAGGCUGAAUAAAACCUUUAUCAACUAAUUCCUGCAACUGGACUUUCAAUUCCCUCAAUUUAGCAGGAGCCAUUCUAUACGGAGUCAAAGAUAUAGGAUCCGUACCUGGAAGCAAAUCAAUACGGAGCCAAAGAUAUAGGAUCCGUACCUCGAUCUAGCGGUAAUCCAAGUAAAUCAUCAGGGAAUACAUCAGGAAAAUGUCUGACUACUCGAACAUCCUCCACACUACUUGAAGCAACAUCAUUCAACACUACAUGAGCUAAAUAUCCCUGGCAACCUUUCAAUAACAACCUUUUUGCUCUUACAGUAGAAAUAACACCAUGCUCACCCCACUACGUUCACCCAUAAAAGUAACUUCAGGUAAUCGAGGACGAUGGAAAGUAACUGUUUUCCCAUAGCAAUCUAUGUUGGCAUGAUUAUAAUGCAACCAAUAUGUGCCUAAAAUCACAUCAAAAUCAACAAUAUCUAACGGGAUAAGAUUAGCUGGCAUAACCACCUCCUUCAUCAUCACUGGACAUCCUGGAUAUACACAAUCAACAUAACGUAUCUCCCCUCUAGGCAUAGCAAACUCUAAAUCAUACCCUAGAGGCAUAGGAUGAGGCUGUGUCACUUUAGCAAAUGUAUGAGAAAUAACAGAAUGCGUAGCACCACAAUCAAUUAAAACUCUAGCAAAGUGACCAAGAAUGUUUAACCUACCCAUGAUCAAAUCUGGAUGAUUCUGAGCAUCUUGCAUAGAGAUAUUAUUAAUACGUCCCUGGGUUUGUUGUCGUCCCCCAUGACCUCUAAUAGAUUGAUGAUAUGAAAAUUAACUUGACACACAAAUUAAACCCCUAUUGUUGACAAUUGUAGUAAAGAUGUAAGUAGGGAUUGUUCUAGACCGAGGAUUAACUAGGGAUGCUAAUCAACAUAAAUAAGACUCAAAAAACAAUAAACUGGACUCUAUAAACUUAAAACUGACUUAAAUGACUCAAAAUAGCAACAAACAAUAAAAAAGACUCAAUUCUAGACCUAACAAGUGAUUUUGACGAAAAUAAACGUAACUUGACUCAAAAGAUUAAAAGAAAAUAGAUUAUGACUCAACUAACAAGACUUAAUGAAUGGGGGUUUGUUUUUGACGAAUUUAAAACUUAAAACAGAAACUUUGCAUAAAACACUUUAUAAAAACGAAUUUGGUGAAUUGAAAAGGGUGAAAGGCUAGUUAGAGGGUCCUUCUCCACACAUGACAUAUGCAUACGAACCAAUUUCCAGUUAUUAUUCCUUUAGACUAUGAAUGACUACACCCCAAGUUAACCGUGAUAGCACAAAUUAACCAUCAGAUUUUCCUUAAGUCAUUGAAUUGGAUGGAAUACGCGUCACAACCAAAUUAUCCUUAUCAAGUUCCCUAACUAUGAAAAGCAUGAUAGAAAGACAUAUCAAAGGUCAUUAAGUUCUUUGAAAACCAUAAGCAUUGACGAAGCAUUCGUAACUAUGAAAAGCAUGAUACUCCUGUCAAGGAUUCACUUAACACAAUCAUGAUUAGUGACUUCCACUACUUGUGAAUAUAAGUUCAUAACGAUUAGGUGAAACUCCCUUAUACUCUAGCAUCGAAUUCAUGCAUGCAAAUUAAGCAUGCAUCCUCAAUCAACAUACAUAAACAAGUUUUGAUAACUCAGAUAAGCAAAUCACAUUCAAGACUCAAGAAACAAUAACUGGAUGUAAUCAAUUCAUAUAAAACAUAUAAUCAUGGCUUCGAAUUCACCUCCAACUAUAAAGGAAUUAGUUCCACAUGUUUGCAGAAAUUGACAACGAAAUCAACAUAAUUGUAAAACUAAAACAAUGAUAGAAGACACCCCAAAGAUGCUCCAACACUCCCAAAAGCUUGGGCAUAGGCACGGCACAAAGGCUUCUCUUCUCCUUCCCUUCCUUGAUGCGGCACUUGAUGAGUUUCUGUGUAUAUGGUGUGAAUUGUGGUGUAGAAUUAUAUGGGGGUGGUGUGUGAAUUAUGCGGCAAAAUCAUGUAUAUAUAGCUAGGGUUAUGCACAAUUUCUGAAGGGAAAAGGAUUGCACAAUCCUAGGGGAAAAGGUUAGGGUUUGGUAGAAACCAAAGGGAAAAAGAAUUAGGAAAUUUGGCCAAAGCUUUUAGAAUGGAAUAUCUGGCAGAUUUCUAGAAGAAAAGCAAUAAAAGGUGCGGCACCAAUCUAGGGCAGGUGAUAAGGCUUCUAGAAAGGGGUAUUUAGUCGAUUGAAUGUGUAAUUGAUCCCCCCUUGCAGCUGGAAUUAUGGUAUGAUAAGAUUAGGAUAAGAUAAGAUAAGAUAAGGUUGGAUAAGGUUUUAGAUAAUGUUCCUUCAUUUUAGCUGAUUCCUUAUCUUCUUUGUCUUGAAUUAAUUUCUUCAACUCUUUAGCACAUUCCUAGCCUCUCUUGAACUUUAAAUUCGUCCAUUCCUUGUGCUCCAUAUGUAAGCUAUCCAUUCUAGCCCAAAACUGCUCCAAAAUGCUCCAAAUUACACUUUCUUGCCAACUUUGUCAUAUGAACCUGAAAACACACGAAAAUAGCUUAAAACACUAUACUAAGUAAGAACUAACAACAUAAAUACAAGAAAACAAGCUAACUAAGUCGCAUAAAUAUGCUCCUAUCACUUGAUUACCUUGCCCCUGCACACCUCGUCCCUGACUUGGCUGACCAGAUUGCCUUGAAGAUCCUGCACUACUGGAAGCAAUCUCUACUUGCUGGAGUUGUCCUCCCUGAUACCACCGAGAUCCACCAGCUGGAAUGGAAGGAUACGGUGGAUAACUUCCAGGAUACUGAGAAUACCCACUCUGGUAAUAAGGGUCCUGCGAAUACUGAUACUGCCCUGAAGCAUAAGGAGCGGCAUCGCCUUGAUAAUGGUAAGCACCACCUCGACCCAUCUGACUAUAACUACCAGACCCUGGAACUUGCUGGAUCGGCGCUGGUGGUGGUAUAGAAGGCUGUUGGGGCCUCUGCUGAUUAUGGGGACAAUUGAUAGCUAUGUCCCAUCUGCCCACAAGUAAAACAUCCACUGCUGCCUCUCCUACACUCCCCAAAAUGCCAAUUAUUACAUCUGCGACAUAAAUGAGCACUUCCUCUUCCAGCAUCUCCCUGCCUCUGGAAUCUAGGACCUCCUAAAAAUCUACCACCUCUCCUCUGACCAGUGGCACUAAAACCUCCGCUAGAAGAGUUGGAACUAGUUCCACUUCUCUUAAAGCUCUAAGUCUUGCGAGGUCCUUGAGAAAACUGACCUUUACCUUUAUCGUCUCACCUCUGAUUCCCAUUCUUUUCUUCUUCUUCUUCACUUUCACUGGGCAUAUUUUCUGAGUUCUCAAUCCUUAACAAAAUCUCAUAAAACUCCUGGUAAGUGGCACAAGGAGUCGAGGUCACUAUAAAACGCCAUUUCUUCUUUGUACCCAAUCUGAAGCGACGGAGCAUCUCAACCGGAUUAGCUGCAACCUCCAGAUGAUAACGAGACAAGUCAGUGAAUCUCCUAUAAUACUCAUUUGCCGUCAUCUUCCCCUAUUUUAAUUGAGUAAACUCUUGCUUUUUGCAAUCAAUAUACUUAUGGGGAAUAAACCUUUUUUGAAACAACUGUUUAAAUACUUCCCAAUCCUCAAUUUCAUCUAAGGUCAACUGAUAAGACUCCUAUCUCCACUAGGAUGCAGGUUCCAAACACAAAAACCAAGUAGUCAUUUCGACCCACCUAUCAGAAGGAAGAUUCCCCUAACUUUGCAUUACAUGGAAAGCCUUCUCAAUAUGAUUGAUCCUUUCUCCGCUCCUUCAUGUCCUUCAUUCCCUAUAAAAUGAUUCAGCUUUAGAUUAUACACAGUCUCAAGAGGUUUCUUUUGGGGAGGACGACGCGAAGACUGAAUAGCAUUAGCUAUAGCCUCCCCUAACUGAGCUAUAUAAGGGAAACUAGGCUCAACAGAAGGACGUGGAUCUCUACGAGGUGGCAUAGUUCUGACAGAAGACAUCAAAAUAAUUAGAAACUCUCAAGAUAUGCAGGACUACAAACCUAAUGCUCUAAUACUAAACUGACACACCCCGACCUAGAUCGAGGUAUGCUGGCCGUCAUGUGGGAGUGACGUAACCAUGUGCAUAGUACGAAAGCAAUAAAGAUAUAAGGGAAUUUCGAAGGAAUAAAAACCAAACUACUAGCAGAACUAGUUAAGAUAAAGUGCUAGUGCGAGAUUAAGGGUGAAAUACACAACCAGAGCAUAAAUAUUCUAGAUGUAGUCAAGCAGGACAAGUGCUAAUUUUACAACACCCAAGGCUGAUCUUACAUUUAUGAUGUUCAGAACCCCCUUCGAAAUCUUCGUGAUCCACCAAAGCACUUCUACCUAAAACCUGGAGGGGUGCAAAAUAGAAAGUGUGAGUGGGCAAAAACAAAGCUUUUCAAAAUCAUUUCAUUUCUGAAAAGUUCUAACCCCUCGCCAUAAAACCUGUAUAAUUGCCCAGAAAAUAAUAAUAAUAAUAAGCUUGUGUCAGAAAUCAUACUCAAGGUGAAAAUCCAUAGAAAUAUACCAUGCUAAAGUAUCUCAAUGUAAUGCUAUAAGUAAUCCAAGCAAAAUAUAUCAAUGUCAAAUAUCGCAUCAGCCAAAUCCCUCUAACUCAAUCUGCACGGCUGAGUAUAUAGCUCAUAACCAAUCUCAAUCAUACCAAAUCACAUCUUGCACACGAUUCGGAACCACCUAAAGUUGUCUGUAGCACAAGAUUAGGUGUAAAGUAAAUAUGCUCUAGUGCUACGAUCACGUGAAGGCUGUGCAAAUAAUCGCGGGUCACCUACAAGUUGAAACCACCUAAAGUGGUAUGUAUGACAAACCUGUGCACCUAACUUGGAUCCAAGGUAAGCAUAUGGUGCGAGAGGUGAACAUCACGUGAAGGACUGUGCCCUAACUCUAGGCGGGAGCACUAACACCGGGGUGCAGGUUUAUGAGCUCUCAAUACAUCACAUCAUAUCUCACAUAACUGAAGUAACCUCAAAUCUUUAAUUUAUGAACUUACCUAGCACUUACAUGUGCGUUCGCAGCACCAAUUAUAAUUAUAUGCAACGACUAAUGCAUAAAUAAAAUAGGCAGAUACUUUGCAUGGCAUUUCAAAACGUAUAAUCAUUCAAAUUCAUUUUCUGGGAAAAAAUCUCAAGUAUAUAGGUAUAUACGGAAAACCAAAAGGCCACUCACUGAUAUGUUGAAAGGUCAUAGCCCUAUUGCCUCAAAUGAUGGCCCUCGUCCUCAGGAUAGGUCUCACUAUAUGCAAAAUAACUGAAUAAACGUUAUUUAAAGCACAUACACAAAACUAGGAUAUAACUUCUCAUACAUUGCUCAAAUGGGGUAUUUGAAUAUACCACCAUGAUCUACUCAACCUCAGGAACAUCGCCAAAUUUUUAGAAAAAAUUUCCAGACGCGCCCCCACACGCGACCAAACCCUAACUGAAACUUAAUUGCCGUUAGGAAUAUUCCGUUAAAACCUUAACAUAAAUUAACGGCGUUACCUGGCGCCUUUAGAAUAUUCCAUCAGACUUGAUGGAAUAUUCGCCUGCGUCUUCCUUGGAACGUCGGAGAUCGUCGCCGGUGCCGUUUUCUAGAAAAAUAAGCAAACCUUCAUAUCUUCUUCGAUUUUCAACCAAAAUUCACAAAAUCUAUACCAAAUUAAAGCUUAGGAUGAGAGGAACAAAACCUUACAACUUUAGGGACCUAAGACCAACGGAAUCUCGCCGGAGAAACUUUGAUAAUUCGGCCAAACUUGAAACUUAUCAAACUCAACUUCCUGACGUCCAAAACACUUCGUUUUUCUUCUCCGAGCUUCGCGAAGAUGUCCUAAGGCUCACUAGCAACUUAAAAUUUCCUAAAAACUUCAAAAUCACGAGUGCAUUAACAGUAACCCAAAACUAUGUUCUCAGGUUCUCGGGAAAAUGAGGUCUUCACGCCCAAAUAAUAGUAUCAAUGGGUUCUUGGGCUCACAAGGAACAUGAAUAUGGUCUCCAUUGGUUUGAUCUGAGGACGAAAGUGAAUGUUCAAGGUUUGUCCGUACAAUUGUAUGGACAUGGAAGAAAAUGCGAGAGGGAGGAGAGAGAGUCAAUGGGAUAGGGUGAGGGUAUGUGUGUGUGAUCUAGUUUGCAGUCAAUCAACCAAAACCUUAGGCCUUUUGUUCUAAUUGGGUCCAAAUAAUAAGGAAUAGAACCUAUUGGUCCAAAACCUUAGUUUACACACACACACAACUCAAUAAUAAAAAGGGUAUAAUAGAAAUUUCCAUGCUCUCGAGGAUAAAUAAUAUAUACGUUCGGGACGAGCUGUCACAAAUCAUCCCCAAAAAAAGGGGUUGACAAUUAAGAAAGGGAGAGAGUGAGUUUAGAGAGUAUUGAUAAAGUGACAUAACUAUGAGAUCUAGCCCCAUUUUUUGGCUCAUUAGAGAUGAAAUUUCUCACUAAGGCUUGAAAUGUAGGAGCCUCAUGGAGGAUAAAGCCCCCAUUGAAAUGCUCUAAAAAGAGUUGUGUGGAUAACACAUCCUUAUUUUUAUUACUUUUUAGUAUGAUCAAGUACUUCUUCACCAUGUCAUCAAGUAGUGGAUCCUAUGAAGAAAAAAAAAUUCCCCAGUGCCUAGGAGUAGACACAUUUUAGCCUUUCUAGGGGCUGAAGUACACCCAUUUUCAAAAUGCCUGUUUGUUGGUACCGUUUUGUUUAAUUUCGGAGCUUAUAUUGACCAAAUGUCAUUUGAUUGGAGACGACCUAAAGGUUUGGGCUUGUAGUUUGACCUAUACUAAUAAUUUUGCUUGUGGUUGGGCCUAUAAACAUAUUUCUACAAAACCUGUUCAGUUCGGUUUAUUUCGUUGUUGAAGAGUACAAAAUUGAGAAUUGUACCGAAACAGACCGGUUCGGUUCGGUUUUGUUACCUGUUUGACUGAUUUGGUCAACUCGAUGUUUUUUUUUUUCAAUUUUUUCACUCAAUUUUUCGGUUCAUCUGUUGUUUUCCCCUCCCCUAGUGAUUAACUCUGCUAAGACGUGACACCUAGAACUUGAAUACAUUAACCAUAACAUAAUUUUCAAUAUGGCCACUUUGGUGCUAGUGGAUUAUGUCCAUCACAUCAACGUAAGGCGGUAUCAUGAUUCAUGACAUUCAUCAGCUACUAUUCUCGGUUGGACUUGUGUGUAUUUUACAACUAACAAAUCUGAUUCUGAAUCAUUUGCAAAACUUUACAAAGAAUCUGAUUCUGAAUCAUUUGCAAAACUUUACAAAGAAUUCAAGAGUAUAAGUAGAUGAACAAAAGUGUAGGUCUCCUUAAAUUCGAUCAUUGAACAAGAAUACUUUAAAAGAAUACGUUGAAAGCAACAAAGGAAAGUGACAUCAUAAAAGUACGGAGAAGAACGAAAUCUAGUUCUAUAUGAUUUGGACUCCAUGAAUUGCUCAUAGAGUUACACCUCCUUAAUGUAAACAAUUUAAAGAGAUGAUCAUUGUGACUACACUCAGCCUAUGUAUGACACUGACCAAAGGAAAUGGUGUACCGUCAUUGAACUCAAUACGAGUUAUGUUAGUACCAAUUGUCUUGAUUCUAGUUUAUCAAGGAAAUGGAAUACUGUCAUUGAACCCAAUGAGUUAUAUUAGUACCAAUCGUCUUGAUUCUAGUUGACCCUUAAUCUAGAAAAAAAAUUCCUUAAGGUCCUAAUUUUUAACCAAAUUUAAGCCUUUGAAUAGUCCCAUUCAAAUGAGGGAAACCUCAAAUAACCUUAUUUGAGAGACACCUUGUGGAGCUCGCUCGUAACUUUAUUUCAAUAAUACAACCUUAUUCGUUACAAAAAAUCAGACUAAUCAAACCCUUGGAGACAUCCAAUUGUAGCGAGGAAAAUAAAAGAACACAAUGCAUUAGACUUAUUAUGACGCGUUUCUUUCUAAAAUACAACAUUAUUAAAGACCGUAUAUCGAAAAUAAAUCCAAAAACAAAAACUGAAAAACAAAAUAAAGAGGAAGUGGCAGGCCUCGCAUACGAUUGGUAAGUGCCUAGCCAUAUAAAACAUUUGAGGCCUACGAUUCCCUGACUAACAAAAAGCCAACAAAACAAACCUUCAAAGAAAUAGCAAAUGCAAGCACACAAGAGAAAAACAGAUUCCUCUCAAGCUUUCAAGCCAGUAUUUAAAUAUAAAUUUGCAUACCAGUUUUCGACCACAAACUGACGCUACAAUAAACUUUCAGAUACAAUAAAAACUACUAAUAUUAAUGUUCCCGGAUGAAAAAAAACCCGUCAAAUAUAGAACAAAAGUGAAAUAAAAGGAAGACGAAGAAAAGCAUCCCAAUCACUCUCCUGCUACAAACAUCCUACCGAAAGAGAUGGUUGAACCAAAGAUUAGGCAAGGCGAGGAUGGUUUUGGACUGAUUUUCUGCCCACCACAUAUACAUAGAACCAUUUGCCAUUGCAAGCAAAAUCUCUCGCGUGGAUGAGAAGUCAACAUCUGAAUCUACCCCAUCCUCGAGUGACCCCACCU
RNAcentral lists this long non-coding RNA (26988 nucleotides) under Malus domestica (apple). Its description in RNAcentral is "long non-coding RNA (MDOM_LNC000163)". The record is from RNAcentral. Lineage: Eukaryota; Viridiplantae; Streptophyta; Magnoliopsida; Rosales; Rosaceae.